This 378-nucleotide ribosomal RNA is filed under the name uncultured organism. RNAcentral's name for it is "partial 16S ribosomal RNA". It matches the Rfam family "Bacterial small subunit ribosomal RNA", at positions 525 to 896 of the family's 1533-position model. The record is from RNAcentral.
GGGAGGGGCGCAAGCGUUGUUCGGAAUCACUGGGCGUAAAGCGCGUGUAGGCGUCGGGGACAGUCGGGAUGUGAAAUCCCGAGGCUCAACCUCGGAACUGCAUUCGAAACUACCCCGGCUAGAGUCCCGGAGAGGAUGGCGGAAUUCCCGGUGUAGGGGUGAAAUCCGUAGAUAUCGGGAGGAACAUCAGUGGCGAAGGCGGCCAUCUGGACGGUGACUGACGCUGAGACGCGAAAGCGUCGGGGAGCAAACAGGAUUUAGAUACCCUGGUAGUCCACGCCGUAAACGGUGAGUGCUAGACGUCGCGGGUAUUGACCCCCGCGGUGUCGCAGUUAACGCGUUAAGCACUCCGCCUGGGGAGUACGGCCGCAAAGGCUA